This 218-nucleotide long non-coding RNA is filed under the name Malus domestica (apple). RNAcentral's name for it is "long non-coding RNA (MDOM_LNC016625)". The record is from RNAcentral. Lineage: Eukaryota; Viridiplantae; Streptophyta; Magnoliopsida; Rosales; Rosaceae.
AGGACACGUGUCAACUUUUGGCGGAAAUGAAUUAUUUGAUUUUAAUUUAAUUAAAUCAAAUAUUAAUUGAUGAAGACAAAUCAUGAGCCGGCCCAUAAAUCGAGUCCUAGUUCUUUCAUCAAUUAAUCAAGCCCACAAUCAAGGCCAAAUCCAUCUAUGGGCAAGGCUUGAAGAGUCUAUAAAUAGGAGGCUCUAAGACAAAGAAAAGGGGUCCAAAA